UACGGAGGGUGCGAGCGUUUGUCCGGAAUCAUUGGGCGUAAAGGGCGCGUAGGUGGCGGGACAAGCGUGCGGUGAAAGCUCGGGGCUCAACCCCGCGUCGGCCGUGCGAACUGUUUUGCUUGAGCACUGUAGAGGCAGGCGGAAUUCCGGGUGUAGCGGUGGAAUGCGUAGAGAUCCGGAAGAACACCGGUGGCGAAGGCGGCCUGCUGGGCAGUAGCUGACACUGAGGCGCGACAGCGUGGGGAGCAAACAGG
Molecule: ribosomal RNA, 254 nt
Filed under: uncultured bacterium
Lineage: Bacteria
Description: partial 16S ribosomal RNA
Rfam family: Bacterial small subunit ribosomal RNA
Source: RNAcentral